AAUAGAAUUAAAAUUUAAACGCGCGGUCGUUGUUUAGUUACUUAAACAACAAUGACCUUCUCACUGACUUUGAUUGUUAUCGAAUCAGUUUCCUUUUGGACUUCGACGAGUAAAGAUCGGAGCUGUCUCUUUCCAAACAGAACGUCAUCGCAAUCACAUACGAAGCAUUGAUAUAAUCGAUUGUUUGUAUUGCUAAAAUAAAAAUAAGGCGAAGUAGAGGCAGUGUUUGUUCGUUCACGUUUCGCGAUUUAAAUAACAAGUGUUUUUGCAUCGACUGCGUGCAAUGCAGUCGUCAGAGUCAGUGAUCGUUCGUAAAGUUUUAUGCUUUUUUAACAGUCGUACAGACUGUAUUUAUAAAAGACAAUAGUGUUUCGGAAAUAAACUUCAGUGGCCGUCCGUUAAAAGAUAACUAUUACGUAUUAGAGUCAGUGUAUCAUUUAAGAGGAUCUCAAUCUAUAGCGAUGUUGGCCUACCUCAUUUUCAACCACCUACGAAUCAUCCACCCUCAAUUUCGACCUAAAUCGCGGUAGAGUGUUUUGAAACUAUCGCAGAACUUCUUAAAUACAAAAUACCGUUCACUGGGUUCCCACAAGUUAACGGGAGAAUGCAAUUUCUUUCAUGAAUCCUGGAGAGCUCGUGAAGAAGAUGCGUGAUAAAAGGUACUUCGUGAAUUUAUACUUGUAAUUUGAAGUAUUUAGAUACAAAGAUUGCGAUAUUCGUGUUUCGUUAUUAUGUAUCGUUAGUUAUAUUGGUUACCACCAAGUGAGAUAGAAUCAGUGUUGCCAAUAAGACUCAGUUAUCUUACUGCUUUAAGCUUGAAAUGUCUAAGGGUAGGUGCCAACAAAUGGCUCGUUUUAUCCAGGAGUUUA
This is a long non-coding RNA of Vespa crabro (European hornet), 869 nucleotides long. RefSeq lists it as uncharacterized. The transcript is spliced from 3 exons. NCBI's taxonomy places the organism in Eukaryota, Metazoa, Arthropoda, Insecta, Hymenoptera, Vespidae. The record is from RefSeq and is a predicted model, not a curated record.